CUUGGGAUCCACAGUCCAAAGUUGAUUGGUGGAUCAAGUGAACUUGGUGCAUCUCCAUUCAAGCUGGAGUACAAUUACCAGCUUGCUUGUUUAGCGCAGUCUCCACAAUCAUACAAGCAAAUGAGCAUCUGUGGUGGCUUAGGGCGCGUGUUUGAGGCUGGUCCGGUAUUUAGAUCAGAAAAAUCAAACACUCACAGGCAUCUGUGUGAGUUUAUUGGGUUGGAUGCAGAAAUGGAGAUUAAGGAGCACUACUUUGAGGUUUGUGAUAUCAUAGAUCUAAUUGUAGCAAUAUUCAAACACCCAAAUGAAAAUUGUCAGAAGGAACUCAAGACAAUAAAUAGGCAGUAUCCAUUUGAACCUCUGAAGUACCUAGAGAAAACGUUGAAGCUAACGUACGAGGAAGGGAUUAAAAUGACAUGUACUUUUAUGUAUGUCUAUGAUAUCAUUAUUGUGGCGUUGUAUACAAUAUGCUCUUUUUUGUUGUUCUCACAGUAUGAUCGAUACUAG
RNAcentral lists this ribosomal RNA (507 nucleotides) under Triticum aestivum (bread wheat). RNAcentral describes it as "partial small subunit ribosomal RNA". The record is from RNAcentral. Lineage: Eukaryota; Viridiplantae; Streptophyta; Magnoliopsida; Poales; Poaceae.